This 191-nucleotide small nuclear RNA is filed under the name Salmo salar (Atlantic salmon). RNAcentral's name for it is "U2 spliceosomal RNA". It matches the Rfam family "U2 spliceosomal RNA". From Rfam's summary of the family: U2 is a small nuclear RNA (snRNA) component of the spliceosome (involved in pre-mRNA splicing). The record is from Rfam by way of RNAcentral. Lineage: Eukaryota; Metazoa; Chordata; Actinopteri; Salmoniformes; Salmonidae.
AUCGCUUUUCGGCCUUUUGGCUCAGAUCAAGUGUAGUAUCUGUUCUUAUCAGUUUAAUAUUUGAUACGUCCCCCAUCGGGGGACUACAUAUUAAAUGGAUUUUUUGAACAGGGAGUUGGAAAUGGGGCUUGUUCCGUCCGCUCCACGCAUCGACCCGGUAUUGCAGUACCUCCGGGAAUGGUGCAACACUU